UAGAAACACCUGAGACGGGUGAUCAGC
RNAcentral lists this non-coding RNA (27 nucleotides) under Homo sapiens (human). Lineage: Eukaryota; Metazoa; Chordata; Mammalia; Primates; Hominidae. The record is from RNAcentral.